GUCGAGCGGCAGCACAGCCGUAGCAAUACUGUGGGUGGCGAGUGGCGGACGGGUGAGGAAUACAUCGGAAUUUGCCCUGUCGUGGGGGAUAACGUAGGGAAACUUACGCUAAUACCGCAUACGACCUUACGGUGAAAGCGGGGGAUCGCAAGACCUCGCGCGGCUGGAGAAGCCGAUGUCAGAUUAGCUAGUUGGCGGGGUAAAGGCCCACCAAGGCGACGAUCUGUAGCUGGUCUGAGAGGAUGAUCAGCCACACUGGGACUGAGACACGGCCCAGACUCCUACGGGAGGCAGCAGUGGGGAAUAUUGGACAAUGGGCGCAAGCCUGAUCCAGCAAUGCCGCGUGUGUGAAGAAGGCCUUCGGGUUGUAAAGCACUUUUAUCUGGAACGAAAUCUGCAGGGCUAAUACCCAUGCAGUCUGACGGUACCAGAGGAAUAAGCACCGGCUAACUUCGUGCCAGCAGCCGCGGUAAU
This 474-nucleotide ribosomal RNA is filed under the name uncultured Dyella sp. Its description in RNAcentral is "bacterial SSU rRNA". It matches the Rfam family "Bacterial small subunit ribosomal RNA", at positions 61 to 524 of the family's 1533-position model. Lineage: Bacteria; Pseudomonadati; Pseudomonadota; Gammaproteobacteria; Lysobacterales; Rhodanobacteraceae. The record is from RNAcentral.